Molecule: ribosomal RNA, 119 nt
Filed under: Pteropus alecto (black flying fox)
Lineage: Eukaryota; Metazoa; Chordata; Mammalia; Chiroptera; Pteropodidae
Source: RNAcentral
GUCUACGGCCAUGCCACCCUGAACAUGCCGGAUCUCAUCUGAUCUCAGAAGCUAAGCAGGGUCGGGCCUGGUUAGUACUCAGAUGGGAGACCACCUAGGAAGACCAGGUGCUGUAGAUA